UUAUGUCUAUGUAGCAUCCUUAAGGAAUAGCGGAAACAUGUCUUGGAAGCAUUUUAUGGUCACGUACCCACAAACAAUAAUAAAAUGAACACCGUCCUAUUUUUCCAAACAAUUUCAGGGGUUCAUGGAAUUGAAAUAUCCUCGAAAUUUUACAUUAAGUCACAACGGUCGUCAAAAUAUUCAAAGUGCAACGAUGAACGUGUGGCUCCUC
Molecule: long non-coding RNA, 211 nt
Filed under: Actinidia chinensis (golden kiwifruit)
Lineage: Eukaryota; Viridiplantae; Streptophyta; Magnoliopsida; Ericales; Actinidiaceae
Description: long non-coding RNA (ACHI_LNC009690)
Source: RNAcentral